GAUGAACGCUGGCGGCGUGCCUAAUACAUGCAAGUCGAGCGAACAGACGAGGAGCUUGCUCCUCUGACGUUAGCGGCGGACGGGUGAGUAACACGUGGAUAACCUACCUAUAAGACUGGGAUAACUUCGGGAAACCGGAGCUAAUACCGGAUAACAUGUUGAACCGCAUGGUUCAACAGUGAAAGACGGGUUUGCUGUCACUUAUAGAUGUAUCCGCGCCGCAUUAGCUAGUUGGUAAGGUAACGGCUUACCAAGGCAACGAUGCGUAGCCGACCUGAGAGGGUGAUCGGCCACACUGGAACUGAGACACGGUCCAGACUCCUACGGGAGGCAGCAGUAGGGAAUCUUCCGCAAUGGGCGAAAGCCUGACGGAGCAACGCCGCGUGAGUGAAGAAGGUCUUCGGAUCGUAAAACUCUGUUAUUAGGGAAGAACAAAUGUGUAAGUAACUAUGCACGUCUUGACGGUACCUAAUCAGAAAGCCACGGCUAACUACGUG
RNAcentral lists this ribosomal RNA (497 nucleotides) under uncultured bacterium. RNAcentral's name for it is "partial 16S ribosomal RNA". It matches the Rfam family "Bacterial small subunit ribosomal RNA", at positions 28 to 507 of the family's 1533-position model. The record is from RNAcentral.